Molecule: ribosomal RNA, 460 nt
Filed under: uncultured bacterium
Lineage: Bacteria
Description: partial 16S ribosomal RNA
Rfam family: Bacterial small subunit ribosomal RNA
Source: RNAcentral
CCUACGGGGGGCAGCAGUGAGGAAUAUUGGUCAAUGGGCUUACGCCUGAACCAGCCAAGUCGCGUGAGGGAAGACUGCCCUAUGGGUUGUAAACCCCUUCUGCCAGGGAGCAAGUGGCGCUACGUGUAGCGUUAUCGAUAGUACCUGAAGAAAAAGCAUCGGCUAACUCCGUGCCAGCAGCCGCGGUAAUACGGAGGAUGCGAGCGUUAUCCGGAUUGAUUGGGUUUACAGGGGGCGUAGGCGGAAUGCCAAGUCAGCGGUAAAAUCGCGGGGCUCAACCUCGCUCCGCCGUUGAAACUGGCGUUCUUGAGGGGGCGAGAGGUCAGCGGAAUGCGUGGUGUAGCGGUGAAAUGCGUAGAUAUCACGCAGAACUCCGGUUGCGAAGGCGGCAUACCGGCGCCCAACUGACGCUGAAGCGCGAAAGCGUGGGUAUCGAACAGGAUUAGAUACCCUUGUAGUC